RNAcentral lists this ribosomal RNA (411 nucleotides) under uncultured Gammaproteobacteria bacterium. RNAcentral describes it as "bacterial SSU rRNA". It matches the Rfam family "Bacterial small subunit ribosomal RNA", at positions 365 to 769 of the family's 1533-position model. Lineage: Bacteria; Pseudomonadati; Pseudomonadota; Gammaproteobacteria. The record is from RNAcentral.
UUGACAAUGGGCGCAAGCCUGAUCCAGCCAUACCGCGUGGGUGAAGAAGGCCUUCGGGUUGUAAAGCCCUUUUGUUGGGAAAGAAAAGCAAUCGGUUAAUACCCGGUUGUUCUGACGGUACCCAAAGAAUAAGCACCGGCUAACUUCGUGCCAGCAGCCGCGGUAAUACGAAGGGUGCAAGCGUUACUCGGAAUUACUGGGCGUAAAGCGUGCGUAGGUGGUGGUUUAAGUCCGUUGUGAAAGCCCUGGGCUCAACCUGGGAAUUGCAGUGGAUACUGGAUCACUAGAGUGUGGUAGAGGGAUGCGGAAUUUCCGGUGUAGCAGUGAAAUGCGUAGAGAUCGGAAGGAACAUCUGUGGCGAAGGCGGCAUCCUGGGCCAACACUGACACUGAGGCACGAAAGCGUGGGAGC